GACGAACGCUGGCGGCGUGCUUAACACAUGCAAGUCGAACGGAAAGGCCCUGCUUUUGUGGGGUGCUCGAGUGGCGAACGGGUGAGUAACACGUGAGUAACUUGCCCUUGACUUUGGGAUAACUUCAGGAAACUGGGGCUAAUACCGGAUAGGAGCUCCUGCUGCAUGGUGGGGGUUGGAAAGUUUCGGCGGUUGGGGAUGGACUCGCGGCUUAUCAGCUUGUUGGUGGGGUAGUGGCUUACCAAGGCUUUGACGGGUAGCCGGCCUGAGAGGGUGACCGGCCACAUUGGGACUGAGAUACGGCCCAGACUCCUACGGGAGGCAGCAGUGGGGGAUAUUGCACAAUGGGCGGAAGCCUGAUGCAGCAACGCCGCGUGCGGGAUGACGGCCUUCGGGUUGUAAACCGCUUUCGCCUGUGACGAAGCGUGAGUGACGGUAAUGGGUAAAGAAGCACCGGCUAACUACGUG
RNAcentral lists this ribosomal RNA (468 nucleotides) under uncultured bacterium. RNAcentral's name for it is "partial 16S ribosomal RNA". It matches the Rfam family "Bacterial small subunit ribosomal RNA", at positions 28 to 507 of the family's 1533-position model. The record is from RNAcentral.